AGUGAACGCUGGCGGCAGGCCUAACACAUGCAAGUCGAGCGGCAGCGCGGGGCAACCCUGGCGGCGAGCGGCGGACGGGUGAGGAAUGCAUCGGAAUCUGCCUCGUUGUGGGGGAUAACGUAGGGAAACUUACGCUAAUACCGCAUACGACCGAGAGGUGAAAGUGGGGGACCGCAAGGCCUCACGCGAUGAGAUGAGCC
This 200-nucleotide ribosomal RNA is filed under the name uncultured bacterium. RNAcentral describes it as "partial 16S ribosomal RNA". It matches the Rfam family "Bacterial small subunit ribosomal RNA", at positions 29 to 231 of the family's 1533-position model. The record is from RNAcentral.